Molecule: long non-coding RNA, 7844 nt
Organism: Panthera uncia (snow leopard)
Lineage: Eukaryota; Metazoa; Chordata; Mammalia; Carnivora; Felidae
Exons: 2
Source: RefSeq, a predicted model, not a curated record
GAUUUGAAAUGGUCUUUUCGUAAGAGAAGAAUCAUAGCAUUUUAGAAUUCAAAAGAACCUUGAAGAUUAUCUUGUGAAAUAGAUGACUUGUCUUAUAGAUUAUCUUUCAUUUUAUAAUUGAGGAAAUUGAAACCCAGAGAAGUGAGAUAAUUUGCCCAAGGUCACUUGAAGGACUCACGUGUGCCUCUCAUUUUCUUUGUAAGCAUUAGGUGGACCCCACUGGGCCUCAUAACUAAGUGCACAGCUUUUUGUUUGUUCAGGCACUGUUCAAUGAAACAGCUUCUAUAUUGGAUGGCUUGAUGUUUGUUUAUGCUUUAAUGAGACUGAGUUUCGACAGGAUAGACCGAAACUUCUGAAGGACAGAUCCCCAGACCGUUGCUCAUGUAUCCAGUCAUUUGAUCCUCCUAAUUAGCACCAACAUUAGUCUUGACUACAAUAAUGACCAUGGGAAUCCAUGAGAAAUUUCUAAAGAUUCUGUUAGACCUUGGUGAGCAUGAGAAUUGAAUUGGAAAUGACUUUAGCUUUUAGCAGAACUGCUCUCUGGUCUUCUGCAUUUACUGUCAGUCAGGUCUCACCUUCUGCCUCUGCUUACAAAUUGGUCUGGCUAAAAGGAGACCCCCUAAGUAUCCUGACCCUAAGCGUCUCCACUACCAUUCUACUGUAGCUUGGCUAAAACUUGAACUCUUCAUCAUCCUUUUGCUCACCAAACCAUCUUCUCCUUCCUCCCCAGUUACCUCUUUUUUUUUUCUUUUUGUAAAGUAGGCUUCACGCCCAGCCCAGAGCCCAAACAACCUUGAGAUCAAGACCUGAACUGAGAUCAGGGGUCAGAUGCUUAACCCACUGAGCCGCCCAGGUGUCCCCCCAAUUACCUCAUUUUGGUUUUUUUGACCAGUACCUGAGAAAAGCACAAUAGUUCAAAGAUAGAGCUUUUCAUGAAACUCCAAUUAGGAAACAAGAACUAGCAAAACAGCAUAGGAAUCAGAACAGGAUAGUGUUGAUGGGAAUGUUGAGGAAGUGGUGAUUCUAUUGAAGUUAAAAGAGGAACCCAUAGAAGGGGUGCCUGGCUGGCUCAGUCAGAGCAUGCGACUCUUGAUCUCAGGGGUCAUGAGCUCAAGCCCCACGUUGGGGAUAGCGAUUACUUAAAAAUAAAGAAACUUCCAGGGUGCCUGGGUGGCUCAGUCGGUUGGGCCUCCGACUUCAGCUCAGGUCAUGAUCUCACAGUUCAUGAGUUCAAGCCCCACAUCAGGCUCUGUUGACAGUGAGGAGCCUGAAGCCUGCUUCCAGUUCUGUAUCUCCCUCUGUCUGCCCCUCCCGUGCUCAUGCUCUGUCUCUGUCUCUCUCUCCCAAAAGUAAAUAAACAUUAAAAAAAUUUUUUUUAAAUAAACUUAAAGUAAAUAGUAUUAUGAGUAAUUGUGAGCUAACAUUUAAAAAUCUAGAUGGAAUGGUUAAAUUACUAGAGAAAUAUUUUUUAAAUGCCAAAAGUUAGUGCCUGGUUGGCUUGGUAGAGCAUGUGACUCUUGAUCUCAGGGUUGUAGGUUCGAGCCCCGUGUUGGGUAUAGAGAUCCCUUAAAAAAAAAAAAAAGAGGGGCGCCUGGGUGGCGCAGUCGGUUAAGCGUCCGACUUCAGCCAGGUCACGAUCUCGCGGUCCGUGAGUUCGAGCCCCGCGUCAGGCUCUGGGCUGAUGGCUCGGAGCCUGGAGCCUGUUUCCGAUUCUGUGUCUCCCUCUCUCUCUGCCCCUCCCCCGUUCAUGCUCUGUCUCUCUCUGUCCCAAAAAUAAAUAAAAACGUUGAAAAAAAAAAAAAUUAAAAAAUUAAAAAAAAAAAAAAAAAAAAGAAAAAAAAAAGGAACCCACAGAACUUGGAGAAAUUGAAUAGAAGGAAUUAAAAUUUUCUAACCAGGAAUAGAAAGUUCCGUAUCCAAUGUAAACUUGACUGUGGCCAUAAUUCUGAAAUAAAGCCAUUGUCCUAUUUUAAUAUUAAAGAGGUCAAGGAAACACAGUGGCUUUUUUUAGUUUUCUAGUACUAUAUAACAAAUUAUCUCAAACUCAGCACCUUAAAAAAGCAAUAGUUUCUGAGGAUCUGGUAUUCCAAGGCAGCUGAGCUAGUGGUUCUGAGUCUCAUAAGGUUGCAAUCCAGAUGUCAGCCAGGUUUGCAGUCAUCUGAAGGAAGACCAGUCUCCAAGAUGGCUGACUCAUAUGGCUGGUAAGUUGGUAUUGGCAGCUGAAGAACCAGACACAAGAAAAGCUCUCUGUCCUCCUAUUUACCUAAAAGCAGGGCAUAAAUUUGCAUAGGUGUCCUUCCUCCCCUGUCUACCAGGAAGGACAAAGGUUAUUCUCAGGAGACAACGUUAGCCUCUUAUCAGCAGAGAAAGCCCUGAUUAAAUCUACCUAACAAGCCUUACCCUGUUUGCUUGCUUUUCCUGGUAACCUUCCGUCACUAGCCUCUUCCCCUCACACACACCUGUCUUCUUUGUCUUCAGCUGAAGAUGAUAUUUAAGCUGAGUUCUUUUCAUUUAAAAAAAAUUUUUUUUUAGACUGAGUUCUAAGCUACCUUUCUGAGUUGGCUUUUCCCUGGGUAUCUCCGCUGUUACACAUGUUAGUAAACUGUUUUCUUGUGAAUAUGUAAUUACAGAAGUGGCAGCCAGGAACUCAGAAGGGUGGAAGGAAAAUUAUUUUACCUCUUUUCACAGGUCAACCCUUUCCACUGUUGGUGGGGACUGCGCAAGGGCAUGAGAAAUGUGGAGGCCCAUCUUGAAGUUUGGCUACCACCGUAGCCAAGGAACAAGUUCAGAUGUUCUCAGAGGCCAGGCCAUCACAUAAACAAAUACCAACUGUGACAGGAAGAUGUAGGGAGUAGUGGGGAUUCCUCACUGAAUACUCAUUAUCUACAGGAACUUAUGAAUGCUGGUCAAUUGAUUCUUUAUCAUACAGUUUUUCAAGACAUCUGAAAGUUGUUUUCAUUAAAGUAAACUUAAGUUUUUUACAGUGUUGGCAAGCUAACUCAGUUACUGAAGAAGGCACUUAAAAAGGUCAUCCCUGGGAGAAGUAAGUGAACCUCCCUGCGGACUGCAUAUAGUUUGGCAGCUGCCAGUUUGUGACUUCUGAUCUACUUAUUUUAUUUUAGAGACGAGGAAAGUGAGGCCCAGGAAAGCUAAAAUGACCAAAGGUCAUGUAACUAACUUGUGAAUGACAGAACUAGAAUUAGUGUCCAGCUCUCUAGCAUCUCCAUUAAAACAUGACUAAGUUUUAAAAGAACUAAAAGAAACUCGAUGCGUAAAUAACCAGUGCCUUGUAAAUGGUUAACUCAUUGGUUCUCAACCCUCCUGAAUGGAAUCACCUGAUGCAUUUUUUUAAAUUACAAAUUCCUGGGCACCACCCAUCAUCAUUCAGUUUCAGUUAGACCAGACUAGGACUUAGGCAUCAGUUUUUUUUAAACUUCCAGCAGCCAAUAUUGAAACCAGAAGGUUAACUGUGGUGAGAGACAGAUUUACUUGUCAUAUGGCGACAGCCCCUAACUGACUUAAGAUAUAAAGAAGGAACCCUUAAAGGAAUGUCAAGGAAGUCCUAGGUAGCUGACAGAAUAUGCUUCAUAAAAGCCAAUCAAGUCAUAUAGGCUGGAUAAAGUUCACAAGCAAUUUCUGCUUAUUAGUAGUGAUUAUCAUGCCCAAGUUUAGAUUUACACAACAGUAUCGCAGGUGAUUUUGCAGACAUUUAGAUCAGUAUCGAAAUAUGUUGACACCACAGCCACAUAUACCGGUGUUCCUAUAUCCCAACCCUUAUAAGUUCUGUGAACACUAUAUACACCUUUAGUUCACUCUAUAUGAGAAAUUUACAAAAAUAAUGACAUAUUUAAAGAGGAAGUGAGAAGUAUUUACUGCUGUUGAUGGUUCUUCAUUAAAUUACAUGCUGGUUUAUAUGAGGGUUUUUUUUGCUUUUUUCUUUUUUUGUAAUUACAGUUUAAGAGUGGAGUUUGGUUGUUGUUUCCUGCUUAACAUUUAUAAGUUGAACAUUAACCUGACAGUCCUAGAUAAAGGUUUCAAGCCUUACCUAUGAUGUCAAACCAAGACCAUGACUGACAGGAAAUAUUGUCACUUGUUUAAACCUACAUUGCAGUUCCCAUUUCACUGUGCAAUUCUGUCCUGUACAUUGGUUUCUCCAGUAUCGUCUGAAUUUAUUGGAAAACUCAAGGAUUUGAAUUCAGAGGAAAGUCACUGCUCAGAAAUCAGUGUUAGUGGUCAUACUGAAAGUUUUUUAUAUUUUGUGGUAAGUUCAAGGGGCACCUGGGUGUCUCAGUCACUUAAGCAUCUGACUCUUGGUAUCUGCCCAGCUGGUGAUCUCACUAUGGUGAAAUCAGGUUCUGUGUCAGGCAGAGCAUGGAGCCUGCUUGGGGUUCUCUCUCUCCCUCUCUCAAAUAAAUAAAUAAACUUAAAAAAAAAUUGUGGUAAAUUAAAAAUAUCUAAAAGAAUAUUUAGUACAAAGUGAAAAAUAGAAAGUUAGAAAUAGCCUUCAAUAAAUGGGGCUUGGCUCCCAGGUCUGCCACUAGGUGACCUUGGGAAAGUUAUUUAAUUGCUUUGAUCUUCAGUUUCUACAUUUGUGAAGCAGGCGUGUUAAGUUUAAUGCACAUAAUGUGCCUAGCAUAUGAGUCACUCGAUAAAUGGAAUGGAGCCAUAAGUUGAGUAGACCUUUAAUUUUCUCCUUGGUCUUAAAGCAUUUGGGGCUGGAAAAGUAGCAAGAACAAAAAUAUAUGAGGUAACAAACUGUGUGGUGCCAUGGACACAUACAAGCAGUUUGGUGUUACUGAAGGAAAAGUACAAAGCAGAGAAUGGCUAGAGAUAAGGCUGGAGAGGUCAUUCUAGAGUAUGCAAAGGAGGACCUUGUGUACCAUGCUUAAGAACUUGUAUUCUAUACUGUAUGCAGAGGACAGCCAAAGAUUUUUAAGGGAAAGAUAAGGUCAUAUUCAUAUUCAUGUGUUAGACACCACUGGCUGGAAUUUAAAGGGCAGUUUAGAGGGAUGAAGAAGCAAGAAGAUAGGUUAGUUGGCUAUAGAAAUAUAUAUAUUUUUAAGUUUAUUUAUUUGACAGAGGCAGAGACAGCAUGAGUUGGGGAGGGGCAGAGAGAGAAUCCCAAGAAAGCUCCGCACUACCAGCAGAGCCCGACAUGGGGCUAGAACUCACACAACCAAUAUCAUGACCUGAGCUGAAACCAAGAGUCGGACGCUUAACUGACUAAGCCACCCAGGCACCCCGACAUAGAAAUAUUCUACACAGAGAUAAUGAAGGCCCAGUUUAGGGUGGUGGGAGAGGAAAGAGGAAGAUGAGCAAAUCUGAGAAAUAAUUUAAGAGGUAGGGCUUGAUUCAUCAGGAAGAGGGAUGAGUUGGGGAUGACUCCUAAGUUUUUGGCUUGGUGAGUAGGUAAAUGACAGAAAACUAAGACAAUUUAGAAGUGGGAAGAUAAUGAAUUCACUUUUCAACACAUUGAUUAUGAGUGUCUGUGGGAUGUCCAGAUGAGUGCCUUUCAUAAGCAGUUGGACAUUGGAGUCUGUAGCCAAGGGAAAGGUCAGGCCUGAUGAUACAGAUUUGGGAGCCAUUGAAUGUUGUCAGACCAGUGAGAGUUGAUGAGAUCAUCCAAGGAAAGCAGAAUGGAAAGAAUUUUAAUAAGCCAUGGACUGCUAGAAUAUUGGGAAACAUGAAUACCUAGGUGAGUGGAGAAGAUAAGAGCCUAACAAGAAAAUGGAAGAGGACCAAUCAUAGAAAUAGAACUGAGAGAAGAGUAAGUUGGUAUCACCAAGUCAACCAAGUAUUUAACGUAAACGAACCUCUCCAGUAUAACAUUUAGGAGUUUCCCUCCUGAGAGUGAUGAGGUUUUGGGGUGGGGUUUGUGAGGUCCGGAGCCAAUGGACAAGAAAAAAUUCUUGAAGUCUUUGGUGCAAAAAGGUGAUUUUAUUAAGGCAUGGGGACAGGGCCUGUGCAUUGUAAGUGUGGGGGGUUAUGGGUUUAUGGAGUUGGGGUAGAGGGAGUUGCAAAGAGACUUUCACAUACUAAAGACUUACUGGAGGCCUAGCUAUUAUUUAAUGUCAACCUAAGGUUGUUUUUCCCUCUAGCAAAGCAUUAACAUUAAGUCACAGGGAGUUCCUGGACUUCAGGCUAUGAUGGGAUUGCCUUUUUCUGGUAAACUGGUGUGGACUCUUAUCAGUUUAACCAUUUGGGUGUUUUUUGUUUGUUUAUUUUUGGGUUUUUUGUCCUUUCCUGGUUUUGGGUAGCCUGGAGUGUCCAAGGAGUAUCAUACAUGUCCCACCUGGGUGGGGGGUGGGGGGAGCUGUUGGCCUGCACUUUGCCCUCAGCUUGCCCCAUGUUACUUCAUCAGGAGUGGAAGGUAUACAAGGUUGGGAACCUUGCAUUCUCUUUCCAUUUUGGACAGUUCAUUUCUACUGUUACUGUUCACCAAGGCCAAGAGGGAUUUGGCAGUUUGAAAGCAGUUGCAGUAGAGGGGAGAAAAGCCAGAUUGUGGUGGGUUGAGAGUGAGUGGGAAGUGAGAAAGUAGAGAAAGCCAAGAUACUUAUCUCAGAAGAAAAGGAGAAAGAGGAUGGUAGUUUCUUUUGGGGGUAGAUUUCUUUUGAGAUUGAUUGUUUUGCUACAACUUGGCUUCACUCUUCAGCUGAUAUUCUAUUAUCAGCUCAUAUUUUAUGUGCGUGUGUAGUGUCUAUAGGUACCUUAUAUGUGUAUAAAUGUGUACUAUUUAAAAUGUGUACUAUUUUAACAUGGAGUAACGAAAAAUUUUUUUAUUUUUAAUGUUUAUUUUUGAGAGAGAGGCAGAGAGAGAGGGAGACACAGAAUCUGAAGCAGGCUCCAGGCUCUGAGCUGUCAUGUCAGCACAGAGCGUGAUGUGGGGCUUGAACCCACGAACCGUGAGAUAAUGACCCGAGCCAAAGUCGGAUGCUUAAUUGACUGAACCACCCAGGCGCCCCAGGAAGAAAAAAAAAAAAAAAAAAACACUUUUAAAAGAAAUUGUGGUGUUAUAUUGAGCCUAUUAUCUGCUCUAUAACAUAUUUUGAUUAGGGUCAUUUAGUGAAUUGCUCUUGUCUUUCGCUUUCCUUCCCUGUUUCCUUCACUCUAGGGGUCAGACUUGGCUCACCAUCUAAGGGCUUUUCCAGCCUUGUUGGUUACUUCCCCAUUCUCUCUCACAGGCAUUUCCCCUAAUAAAAAAAUUUUGCGUGUUUAAUCUCAUCUUGGCAGCAGCUUCCUGAACUCCAAAUAAGCUUCAGAAAUGUUUAAAUAUUUUGGGUAGCUGUAAGGUUAGCAUGACACAACCAAUUUUUUUUUAAAUAAAAAUUUACUCUUUGGGAGUUUUUUCUCAGUGACUAUUACAAACAUAAUUUGUGGAUACUGAGAGAACUAAUUCUUGCCUUCCUAUUUACUGUCUUAUGUACAUAUUAUGACUUGAAGAAAUAGAAUCUUGGGAUUUUUAGCAUGAAAAAAUUUUGAUCCAACAGUUUUGGAAUGGGAAGAAGAAUUAAAGCAUAGUCAAGUGCCUUGCUGGUGGACCACAUUCUGUCUCUAACCUUCAAUAUAACUAAGCUGAAAUAAGCUAAGUUAUAGGACAGAAGAGAAAAUUAACAUUUAUUCAGGACAAGUAUGUGGGGUAGGGAAGGAGUUGGAAUGUUAGAAUGAGAAACUCUAAGGCUGAUGUACUUCAACCUGCACCACUAAGCCAAGCUUUAGAAUACCCAGUGGUGUAUUUUUUUGAAUUGAAAAAAGAAAAGUAAACAAUGUAGAUUAAAAGUCCAAGACUCGAGCAUGCAACUCUUGAUCUCAGGGUUGUGAAUUCAAGCCCCACAUUGAGUGUAGAG